RNAcentral lists this ribosomal RNA (494 nucleotides) under uncultured bacterium. RNAcentral's name for it is "bacterial SSU rRNA". It matches the Rfam family "Bacterial small subunit ribosomal RNA", at positions 36 to 507 of the family's 1533-position model. The record is from RNAcentral.
CUGGCGGCGUGCUUAACACAUGCAAGUCGAACGGGGUGUUUAUUUCGGUAAACACCGAAGUGGCGAACGGGUGAGUAACGCGUAAGCAAUCUACCUUCAAGAUGGGACAACACUUCGAAAGGGGUGCUAAUACCGAAUGAAUGUAAGAGUAUCGCAUGAGACACUUACUAAAGGAGGCCUCUGAAAAUGCUUCCGCUUGAAGAUGAGCUUGCGUCUGAUUAGCUAGUUGGUGAGGGUAAAGGCCCACCAAGGCGACGAUCAGUAGCCGGUCUGAGAGGAUGAACGGCCACAUUGGGACUGAGACACGGCCCAGACUCCUACGGGAGGCAGCAGUGGGGAAUCUUCCGCAAUGGGCGAAAGCCUGACGGAGCAACGCCGCGUGAACGAUGAAGGUCUUAGGAUCGUAAAGUUCUGUUGUUAGGGACGAAGGGUAAGAAUCAUAAUAAGGUUUUUAUUUGACGGUACCUAACGAGGAAGCCACGGCUAACUACGUG